RNAcentral lists this non-coding RNA (130 nucleotides) under Rhizobium sp. RNAcentral's name for it is "TPP sequence". It matches the Rfam family "TPP riboswitch aptamer (THI element)". From Rfam's summary of the family: Vitamin B(1) in its active form thiamin pyrophosphate (TPP) is an essential coenzyme that is synthesised by coupling of pyrimidine and thiazole moieties in bacteria. The previously detected thiamin-regulatory element, thi box was extended, resulting in a new, highly conserved RNA secondary structure, the THI element, which is widely distributed in eubacteria and also occurs in some archaea. Analysis of operon structures identified a large number of new candidate thiamin-regulated genes, mostly transporters, in various prokaryotic organisms. RNAcentral also lists the same sequence under 1 other name. Lineage: Bacteria; Pseudomonadati; Pseudomonadota; Alphaproteobacteria; Hyphomicrobiales; Rhizobiaceae. The record is from RNAcentral.
GAUGCUCUAACGGGGUGCCUUUCCAACGUGACGAUCAUUCGUCUCGGGAAGACGGGCUGAGAGGCUGACAAGCCAACCCGCGGAACCUGAUCCGGUUUGCACCGGCGGAGGGAUUAGACGGCUCGCAAGC